UAGGGAAUCUUCCACAAUGGACGCAAGUCUGAUGGAGCAACGCCGCGUGAGUGAAGAAGGUUUUCGGAUCGUAAUGCUCUGUUGUUGGUGAAGACUGAUAGAGGCAGUAACUGGUCUUUAUUUGACGGUAAUCAACCAGAAAGUCACGGCUAACUACGUGCCAGCAGCCGCGGUAAUACGUAGGUGGCAAGCGUUGUCCGGAUUUAUUGGGCGUAAAGCGAGCGCAGGCGGAGUGAUAAGUCUGAUGUGAAAGCCCACGGCGCAACCAUGGGACUGCAUCGGGAACUGUCAUGCUUGAGUGCAGAAGAGGAGAGUGGAAUUCCAUGUGUAGCGGUGGAAUGCGUAGAGAUAUGGAAGAAAACCAGUGGCGAAGGCGGCGCUCUGGUCUGCAACUGACGCUGAGGCGCGAAAGCAUGGGUAGCGAAGAAG
Molecule: ribosomal RNA, 429 nt
Filed under: bacterium
Lineage: Bacteria
Description: partial 16S ribosomal RNA
Rfam family: Bacterial small subunit ribosomal RNA
Source: RNAcentral